This 444-nucleotide ribosomal RNA is filed under the name uncultured bacterium. RNAcentral describes it as "bacterial SSU rRNA". It matches the Rfam family "Bacterial small subunit ribosomal RNA", at positions 29 to 506 of the family's 1533-position model. The record is from RNAcentral.
AUGAACGCUGGCGGCGUGGAUAAGGCAUGCAAGUCGAAAGGGUUUAGACCCUUGGCGAACGAGGUAGUAACACGUCGGAACGCACCCCCAAGUCAGGCAUAACUCGUCGAAAGGCGAGACAAUUCCUGAUAGUCCCUGAGGCCGCAAGGCCGAAGGGUAAAGAUUUAUCGCUUGGGGAGCGGCCGGCGGCGUAUCAGCUAGUUGGUAAGGUAAUGGCUUACCAAGGCUAUGACGCGUAGGGGAGGUGAGAGCCUGACCCCCACCGAUGGGACUGAGACACGGCCCAUACACCUACGGGUGGCUGCAGUCGAGAAUCUUCCGCAAUGGACGAAAGUCUGACGGAGCGACGCCGCGUGAUGGAUGAAGCCCCUCGGGGCGUAAACAUCUUUUAUGAGGGAGGAAGUAAUUGACGUUACCUCAUGAAUAAGGGGUUGCUAAACUCGU